Molecule: ribosomal RNA, 390 nt
Filed under: uncultured bacterium
Lineage: Bacteria
Description: bacterial SSU rRNA
Rfam family: Bacterial small subunit ribosomal RNA
Source: RNAcentral
AUUGAACGCUGGCGGCAUGCCUUACACAUGCAAGUCGAACGGCAGCACGGGGGCAACCCUGGUGGCGAGUGGCGAACGGGUGAGUAACAUAUCGGAACAUACCCUAGAGUGGGGGAUAACGUAGCGAAAGUUACGCUAAUACCGCAUACGAUCUAAGGAUGAAAGUGGGGGAUCUUCGGACCUCAUGCUCAUGGAGUGGCCGAUAUCUGAUUAGCUAGUUGGUGAGGUAAAGGCUCACCAAGGCGACGAUCAGUAGCUGGUUUGAGAGAACGACCAGCCACACUGGAACUGAGACACGGUCCAGACUCCUACGGGAGGCAGCAGUGGGGAAUUUUGGGACAAUGGGGGCAACCCUGAUCCAGCAAUGCCGCGUGAGUGAAGAAGGCCUUC